UUUUGAUGGCUUUGCUAUCAUACCACCAGGAAUUGUGCUGAAAUUUGGGAUAUCAGUUGAUCUUCCUGGUUUGGGAAUCUCAUCUUUUGAAGAAAAACCUGAACUGAAGCUGUGGUUAAGAUCCACGACUGAAGCACCGGUGGAUGGAGUUGGGUAUCAAGUCAAGCCCGACAUUAGACGUAAAUAAAAGGGUUGACGACGGUGGAACAUUUGGCCAGCAGCGACGGCGUGAUGCUUGCCUCCGGAGUCAGCAGGUCGGGGGGUCCGAAGGUGGCGAGCAGUGCUGCAACUCCAUACGGCAGCCAGCAGACCAGGAGCCACCAGGAAUGACCACGUUGGGAUAGACGUCAGUUUCCAUUUAUCCACAUCAUUACACACAUCAAGCACUGUGGCCACAGACUCGGCGUUCCAGUCCACAGGACGACUCAUCGACUUCUGGGAAGAGCUGCCAUGUGAUCGCUGAGGAGACAAACAGAAACAAAGUGCACCAGGGUCGCGGAAGAGCUGCAGCCUCUCGGAUGCUUUAUUUCUCCCCCUUUUUUUAUUAGAUUUUUGUUAUUUUAAUAACUUAAAAGGUGCAGUUAUUAUAAAAAAGAAUAAGAGUAAAUCAAAACUAA
This is a non-coding RNA of Nothobranchius furzeri (turquoise killifish), 617 nucleotides long. Lineage: Eukaryota; Metazoa; Chordata; Actinopteri; Cyprinodontiformes; Nothobranchiidae. The record is from RefSeq and is a predicted model, not a curated record.